RNA transcript from Scylla paramamosain (green mud crab), 2555 nucleotides. It is a transcript of the gene named probable E3 ubiquitin-protein ligase HERC4, with no coding region annotated. The transcript has 8 exons. NCBI's taxonomy places the organism in Eukaryota, Metazoa, Arthropoda, Malacostraca, Decapoda, Portunidae. The record is from RefSeq and is a predicted model, not a curated record.
CGUUUUCUCUUCUGAGAUGUAAACAAAGCGGUACAUUCCUUUCAGCUGGUGAUAAAACUUUCUCUCGCUCUCCCUCGCUCUCCCUCGCUCUCCCUCACUCUCCCACGUCACGGAAGCAGUAAAAUAAAGCACAGGAGGAGGAAGUGAGAGGAUAAUGAAUUUUGGAUGUUUGUGAUACGUCAGAAGGUUUCACUCAUUUCCUGUCGAGAUGUUGAGCAACGGCAACCCUCCAAUCCGGCAAGCAGUUGGCGGCAGCGAUGGCGGUGGCGGCAGCAGUGGUGGCGAGGCGGACGGCAGGGACAGAGGGGCAGUACAGGGUGCGGACAUCAAGGAGAAGAGGAACGCACGGACAAGCAAGGUGUUAUUCGGCAGUCUGAUCCUGGACCUGGUCGGCUUCAUGGCGGUGGUGCCUCUGUGUCCUGCUCUCCUUGACUGUUACUCCAAGCACAACACCAGCGGCUUGUAUUCCUCUCAGCUCUCCUGUGUGACUUAUUACCAACAUAUCAUCGGUUUCGCUGCGAGGUUUCAUUCUGUCUUGUUUGGCACUGAUUGGCGUGACAUUCAGCAUAGGCUUCACCGUCGGGCACACUGUGGGGGCUGCGUUCUCCCGCUGGGGAAGUACUGGGUGGUUCGCGGCCUCGGCUGUCUACGCACGCACUCUCACUGUGGCUAACAUAAUAUUCUUUGCUGUCUUCUUCCAGGAAUUGCUGCCUGAGGGCAGAAGGAGGAGGGACAUCGGUGCCAGUUUGACCGAGGCUUGGGAGGUGAUCAAUCCUAGGGCUCUGUUCUCCGUCAGCUGUGUCAAGGGCCUGGGCAGAGAAGCCUGGAGUUAACGCUGAUCUUCGCGACCCACCACAAGCAUAGUUACGACUCGUUGGCGCAGGACCGCAAGUUUUCCCUCCUGGGCCUGGUCAUGGCAAUUACACAGAGAGGGUUUAUGCGAAGUGUUAAGACUGGAACUGAAAAAGCAACUGCCAAUUAGGUGUUCUGGGUGGUUAAUGACGAUGACUCCUGCUUUCAUCCUCAUCGGGGCUAGCAAGACCAACCUGGGGCUGUACUCUGGACUGACGCUGUAUGCCAUAGGUUCCUCUUUGAUGGUGCCCUGCCUCACUGCCCUCGCCUCCUGUCACAGCACGGCCUCUCACAAGGGUACCCUGUUUGGCAUUCGGAGGUCACCAGGGGCUGUUCCAAGGGCGUUCGGACCUGUUGUGACCAAUAGGUUUGUUUGUGUUGUUCGAGAGUGUUUAGCUGUGUUUUGUGUGUUUUUUGGUGUGUUUUGAGGUGUUUUGGGGGUGUUUUUGGGUGUUUUAAGGGUGUUUUGGGUGUAUUUUUGGGUGUUUUGGUAUGUUUGGCUGUGUUUUGUGUGUGUUUUUGGUGUGUUUUGAGGUGUUUUGGAUGUGUUUUGGGGUGUUUUUGGGUGUUUUGGGUGUAUUUUUGGGUGAUUUGGGUGUUUUGGUAUGUUUAGCUGUGUUUUUGGUGUGUUUUGGGGUGUUUUGGGUGUAUUUUAGAGUGUUUUGCUGUGUUUUGUGUGUGUUUUUGGUGUGUUUGGGGGGUGUUUUGGGAUGUUUUUGCGUGUGUUUUGUGUGUUUGGAAGUCUGAGGCUGUGUUUUUGGGUGUUUUGGGUGUAUUUUACGGUGUUUUAGGAUGUUUAGCUGUGUUUUGUGUGUGUUUUUAGUGUGUUUUGGGGUGUUUUGGAUGUGUUUGUGGGUGUUUUGGGUGUUUUGGUAUGUUUGGCUGUGUUUUGUGUGUGUUUUGGAUGUGUUUGGGUGUGUUUGAGGGUGUUUUGGGGGUGUUUGGAUGUGUAUGGAUAUAUUUAAGGGUGUUUUUGGUGUGUUUGGGGGUGUAGAGGUGUGUUUGGGUGUGUGGGACAAUGUUUUGGGGGUGUUUGGGGGUGUAGAGGUGUGUGUUGGUGUGUUUGGGUGUAUUUUGUUGUGUUGUCUGUGUUGUUUGGGUCUCUCUCUCUCUCUCUCUCUCUCUCUCUCUGCAGGAUUCUGGGUAAUGUGGGCAGAAGUGUGCUAUAUUGUAGACAGCCUCUCCAUGCUGCUGCCGCUAGUGAUGCAGCAGGCCUACUGAGCUCCCUGCCACGCCCUCAGCCUGUUUAUAUUAGCCAGGUUAAGGAGGAAGGAUGUUGGGCUGAUGUUGGCCUAUUUAUGUGGUUUUUGGGCUAGUUAUGGGCGGUUUUUUGUCACGUGUUCCUUCUUUUGGGCUAGUUUUGGGCGGUUUUUUGUCGUGUUCCUUCUUUUGGGCUAUCAUUAUCUAUUUUUGUUCUUUUAUUUUUCAUGGUUCCAGUGACAGUUUAAGAGGCUGUGGUGGAAGUUAUUAGGGUUUUCAAGGGUGUUUUCAUGGUUCCAGUGACAGUUUAAGAGGCUGUGGUGGAAGUUAUUGCGGUUUUCAAGGGUGUUUUUAUGGUUCUAAAAUUUAACAUGCUGUAGUGGAAGUUAUUAGGGUUUUCAAGGGUGUUUUCAUGGUUCCAGUGAUAGUCUAAGAGGCUGUAGUGUGCAAACUCUCUUGUCAGGGUGUAAACUCACCUUACCUUAAUAAAAUGUUGAUUAAUA